RNAcentral lists this ribosomal RNA (205 nucleotides) under uncultured crenarchaeote. Its description in RNAcentral is "partial 16S ribosomal RNA". It matches the Rfam family "Archaeal small subunit ribosomal RNA", at positions 484 to 689 of the family's 1478-position model. The record is from RNAcentral. Lineage: Archaea; Thermoproteati; Thermoproteota.
CCGAGUGGUGUGGAUGUUUAUUGGGCCUAAAGCAUCCGUAGCUUGCUGAUCAAGUCCCCUGUUAAACCCAACGAAUCAAUCGUUGGAUUGCGGGGGAUACUGCUCGGCUAGGGGACGAGAGAGGCCGACGGUAUUUUCGGGGUAGGGGUGAAAUCCUAUAAUCCCGAGAGGACCACCAGUGGCGAAGGCUGUCGGCUAGAACGCG